RNAcentral lists this ribosomal RNA (429 nucleotides) under Gemmatimonadota bacterium. RNAcentral's name for it is "Gemmatimonadetes bacterium partial 16S ribosomal RNA". It matches the Rfam family "Bacterial small subunit ribosomal RNA", at positions 355 to 776 of the family's 1533-position model. The record is from RNAcentral. Lineage: Bacteria; Pseudomonadati; Gemmatimonadota.
UAGGGAAUCUUCGGCAAUGGACGAAAGUCUGACCGAGCAACGCCGCGUGAGUGAAGAAGGUUUUCGGAUCGUAAAACUCUGUUGUUAGAGAAGAACAAGGACGUUAGUAACUGAACGUCCCCUGACGGUAUCUAACCAGAAAGCCACGGCUAACUACGUGCCAGCAGCCGCGGUAAUACGUAGGUGGCAAGCGUUGUCCGGAUUUAUUGGGCGUACAGCGAGCGCAGGCGGUUUCUUAAGUCUGAUGUGAAAGCCCCCGGCUCAACCGGGGAGGGUAAUUGGAAACUGGGAGAGUUGAGUGCAGAAGAGGGGAGUGGAAUUCCAUGUGUAGCGGAGAUAUGCGUAGAUAUAUGGAGGAACACCAGUGGCGAAGGCGGCUCUCUGGUCUGUAACUGACGCUGAGGCUAGAAAGCGUGGGGAGCAAACAGG